AUUAAAUAAUAUCAAACAAUUAAAUAACGUCAAACAAUUAAAUGACAAUAAUAAUGAUUAUAAUCGAAUAAAAACUCCUUCAUUCAACUACUAUAAUAAUACAAUAAAUUCACUGCUACAAAAAUAUAGCUUAAAAGAAAAAAUUAAUUACAUAAAUGAAGAAAUUGAUGUAAACGAUUUAUAUGCUAGUGUUAAUGAUUAUUUAGAUAGAAGGUCUAAAUUUAAUAAAGAAAUAUCAAUCGGUUCUUAUGUAUUCUUAAUUAAUGAAAAGGAAAUAAGUAACGAUGACGAUAGUGACGACAACAACAACUCAGACAAUGACGAUAACAACAACUCAGACAAUGACGACAACAACAAAGAGAAAAAAACAGAAAUUGAAAUUAAUGUAAAUUUGUUUUAUAAUUAUACUUCUAUUCAUUCUCAUGCAUACUAUACUAAUUUAAUAUUUAAUAUUUUAUUAGAUUUUCAAGAUUUGUUAAAUAAUCAAAAUUCGAAAUUAAAUAUAUACGAUUAUUAUAAGAACGAAGAAGAUGAUGGUAAUGUAGUCACAUAUGAUUUUGGACAAACAGGAAAAAUAGAAUUAACCAACAUGCGACCACAUAAUACAUACCCCAACGAAAUAAGCCAAGAAAACGAACUAAAUUGGGAUAGUAGAAAUAAAGGCACUAAAACUGACAAAAAAAUUGAUAUAAUAAACGAACCGUUCAAUAUAAAGUUUCAUGAAUAUUUCAUGAGAGACUUUUAUAUAAAUAUGUUUUUGUUUUUGUCUAUAGUAAUUUUUUUUUGUGUAUUUUUUGAAAAGUUAAAAAAUGAAAUGAAAUAUAGAAAAAUGUUUGAUCAUUUUAAUAUAAAUAAGUUUGUGCAUUAUUCCCAAAUAGUACUUUGUAAUUAUUUGUAUUAUUUUUUUUAUGUAGUAUUUUUUUUUAUUAUAUUAUAUACUUUUGAUUAUAAAGAAUUUUUACAUAUAUAUUUUUUCUUUUUCCUUAUAUUAUAUGGUUUUAAUAUGUUUUUAUCUAUUUGUUUAUUUUCUUCUUUUUACUUACAUAGUCAUAUUCUUUUUUAUUUAUUAAUUUUAUAUUUUGUGCCAUGAUAACAAUAAUUAUUUAUGUUUUGGUUAUAUUUGCCUAUGCUUAUAACAAUGAUUUUUUAUUAAGAGUGUCUCAUAUAUUUGUAUGUAUAUUUCGAAUAUUAGAUUCAUUCUGCUUAUCACAUGUUUUAAAUAUAAGGAGUUUAUGUUUAAAUAUGAAAAGACAUUUUAAACAUAUAGAUGAAGAUAAGGACGAUA
RNAcentral lists this long non-coding RNA (1285 nucleotides) under Piliocolobus tephrosceles (Ugandan red Colobus). RNAcentral describes it as "lncRNA (ENSPTEG00000002567.1)". Lineage: Eukaryota; Metazoa; Chordata; Mammalia; Primates; Cercopithecidae. The record is from RNAcentral.